AAAUGUGUAUUUUUUACCAUUGCAUAGUUCUAAUGGUUUUCGGCUUCGGUCAGCUGAUGUAAUCAUUACCCGCGUCGGCUUGAGGGCCAGUGAGAAUUUUUGUUGUUGUAAAAGAUGGUUGAUUAGUUUUCGGGUAUUGAAGGAGGAUGAUAGGGGAGAUUGGGAAAAAUAGACGUAACUGGAUAUUGCCAAUACUUUGCAUACCACUUGGGUUUAUUUUAUUUUUUUUUAAACACAAAUUUUUAUCUGGAGAUAAAACAUGUUUCUUAAUUUUUAAAACCUAUUGAAACUUGAACGCAAAAUAUUAAAUUAUGCGAACCAAACUCGCUGUUUGGGAGUGCUGCCGUUGAAAAAGCAGCAGCAUAAAAUAUAAAAAUAAUUAUCAGACGGCACUCGCCAAAUGACUGCGCUAAAUCUGGCUCUUAUAUCAAACAGCGAACAGAAUAUAUAUAGAACCGCAGACCGGCGGGUAUGAUGUUAAUUAACGGGAGUUUUGUUGCGCAAUCCUCUCUGUGACUGUGUAUGGAAGCGGAAAAGUAGGCAAAUGUUGGCCAUUCCUAUAAAAAAGAACGCCGCCAGGCAAUGACCGGCAAAACAUGGUCGAGACAUUCGGGCAGAGAAACAUAAAAUCGUACGCGCGAAUAACGGUUUACAGACGUUCUUCAAAAAAAAAAAAAAAAAAAAAAAACGCGAGUAGCUAGUUCUGUAGAAUCUCGUAGAAUUGGGUGCUUGAUUUAAUCCUCUUUGAGGCAUGCGCCCAUGAUGUAUUAGGCUUAUAUAAAAACUGCUCCAAUUAAAGCAGGUAUUGGUAGGUGCUCCACAGCUAAGACUCAUUUAACUUCUUGCUAGUGAAAAAUCUGAGUGAAAGUAAGAACAAUAAACAUACUACAAAAGCUGUUAUCUCACUGAACAUGACUUGCUAAGUAUCAAAACUCUAUAGUUACUUACAGGGGAUAGUCAAAAUAAGUAGUAUAGGCAAAGUUUUGAUGAAAUUCGAAUUGCUGUAGCUUUGCCAAAUAUUGUUUGAUUUAAAUAAUUCGAACACCAUUGAACUGGAGAACUUUUUAUUUUCAUUUUCUGACCACAAAUGUGGUCUGGGUCAUCGGAUGUAGAAAAUAUUCCUGAGUUCCGUUAGUAAUGUCAAACCUGCUAAUUUUUGGAUGGAUUUGGCAAGGGGUUACCUGAUAAAAAUGUUCAUUUGCAUCAUUGGCAUAAAUGACAAAAUCAUUUCUGAUGCGAAUGGUUCAUCAAGAUCCGAAAUCGGCCAAGAACUCAUCGAGAAAUAGCUAUUUUUCAUCCGGAAGUCCUCAGAGGAACCUGCAGUGGCGUACAUUUACAUUUUUGCAUCAAAUAUAGCGUGUGACACCUUUAUAUUCAGGAUUUUUCAUCAAGAAUGAUCCAAAAGACAUAUUUCUGAAUACAGGCUGCAUUAGCCACUACCGGAACAAUAUAAAUGCCCCGUAGGAACCCGGAAUGGGGACAUUCACAUUUUUACAUCAAAUAUAGCGUGAGACACCUCUAUCUUCAUAUUUCUUCAUCAGGCAUCUUCCAAAAGUCAUAUUACUAAAUAUAGGCUGCAUUGGUCACUCCCGGAAUGAUCCGAAGGCCUGGCACUGACUGAGGAUCGCAACAUUCUAGGAAGUAAGAAUUGCUUCCUUAUCCCUCAUGACAACUUAAGGUCAAAAUACCCAAGUUAAGGUCAAAAUACGAAGGGUUGCGUUUACACUAAUACCAGGAAGUCAACUUCUGAACAACUUUGCUGAAAACCACGACUUUUCAGGUCAUUGGAAACACGCGAUAUUGCCCUAUUCCAGAUGAUGCAAUGCAAUACUCAGCCAAGCUUUCCCAAACUUAUGGUGGGUAAUACCUUUUAAUUUUAUACGCGUUUAUCUCGGAAUGGUGUUUCUCAAAAAAUGACUGCCGUGUUUACGAUUGUGGUGAAACUACUGAACCGAUUUCAUCAUCUCGUUUUUUUGAAAUGUUCGUCAUUAAACUCCCCGGUCGUUGAACGAUCGAUUUUUGAUACACGAAGGUUAACUUUGCCGAAAAAAAUUUUAAUGCAAUUUUCAGUGCUCAAAACAUGUGUUUUUCGGGGAAAACGCUCCCGUUGGCACUGAAAACAAAAUACUUAGAAAAACGAUCGUUCAGAUACCCGGCACACUUUUAAACUAAUGAAAUAAUAUAAGUUUUUUGAUUUCAGUUGAUGUGCUGCGUCAUUAUCGUAAACACCGCAAACCUCUGCCAAAAAAUGCGUUUCGGGGAAACGGCCAUUACUCCCCAAAUAAUUGGUAUUUUUUAUGAACAAACUUGUUUUGUUGUUGUUGAAUAACUGAACUUUCAUAAAAUUACUACUUUUAUGCAAUAAAAAGGUGCUACACGCCUAAAAAAAAUCCAAA
Wyeomyia smithii (pitcher-plant mosquito) is the source of this 2396-nucleotide long non-coding RNA. RefSeq lists it as uncharacterized. Lineage: Eukaryota; Metazoa; Arthropoda; Insecta; Diptera; Culicidae. The record is from RefSeq and is a predicted model, not a curated record. The transcript has 2 exons.